Molecule: ribosomal RNA, 223 nt
Filed under: Vibrio diabolicus
Lineage: Bacteria; Pseudomonadati; Pseudomonadota; Gammaproteobacteria; Vibrionales; Vibrionaceae
Description: partial 23S ribosomal RNA
Rfam family: Bacterial large subunit ribosomal RNA
Source: RNAcentral
UGUGAAGAUGCAGUGUACCCGCGGCUAGACGGAAAGACCCCGUGAACCUUUACUACAGCUUGGCACUGAACAUUGACCCUACAUGUGUAGGAUAGGUGGGAGGCUUUGAAGUGCAGUCGCUAGAUUGCGUGGAGCCGUCCUUGAAAUACCACCCUUGUAGUGUUGAUGUUCUAACGUCGACCCCUUAUCGGGGUUGCGGACAGUGCCUGGUGGGUAGUUUGAC